This 2923-nucleotide ribosomal RNA is filed under the name Shigella flexneri. Its description in RNAcentral is "23S ribosomal RNA". It matches the Rfam family "Bacterial large subunit ribosomal RNA". The record is from RNAcentral. Lineage: Bacteria; Pseudomonadati; Pseudomonadota; Gammaproteobacteria; Enterobacterales; Enterobacteriaceae.
GGGUUGUGAGGUUAAGCGACUAAGCGUACACGGUGGAUGCCCUGGCAGUCAGAGGCGAUGAAGGACGUGCUAAUCUGCGAUAAGCGUCGGUAAGGUGAUAUGAACCGUUAUAACCGGCGAUUUCCGAAUGGGGAAACCCAGUGUGAUUCGUCACACUAUCAUUAACUGAAUCCAUAGGUUAAUGAGGCGAACCGGGGGAACUGAAACAUCUAAGUACCCCGAGGAAAAGAAAUCAACCGAGAUUCCCCCAGUAGCGGCGAGCGAACGGGGAGCAGCCCAGAGCCUGAAUCAGUGUGUGUGUUAGUGGAAGCGUCUGGAAAGGCGUGCGAUACAGGGUGACAGCCCCGUACACAAAAAUGCACAUACUGUGAGCUCGAUGAGUAGGGCGGGACACGUGGUAUCCUGUCUGAAUAUGGGGGACCAUCCUCCAAGGCUAAAUACUCCUGACUGACCGAUAGUGAACCAGUACCGUGAGGGAAAGGCGAAAAGAACCCCGGCGAGGGGAGUGAAAAAGAACCUGAAACCGUGUACGUACAAGCAGUGGGAGCACGCUUAGGCGUGUGACUGCGUACCUUUUGUAUAAUGGGUCAGCGACUUAUAUUCUGUAGCAAGGUUAACCGAAUAGGGGAGCCGAAGGGAAACCGAGUCUUAACUGGGCGUUAAGUUGCAGGGUAUAGACCCGAAACCCGGUGAUCUAGCCAUGGGCAGGUUGAAGGUUGGGUAACACUAACUGGAGGACCGAACCGACUAAUGUUGAAAAAUUAGCGGAUGACUUGUGGCUGGGGGUGAAAGGCCAAUCAAACCGGGAGAUAGCUGGUUCUCCCCGAAAGCUAUUUAGGUAGCGCCUCGUGAAUUCAUCUCCGGGGGUAGAGCACUGUUUCGGCAAGGGGGUCAUCCCGACUUACCAACCCGAUGCAAACUGCGAAUACCGGAGAAUGUUAUUACGGGAGACACACGGCGGGUGCUAACGUCCGUCGUGAAGAGGGAAACAACCCAGACCGCCAGCUAAGGUCCCAAAGUCAUGGUUAAGUGGGAAACGAUGUGGGAAGGCCCAGACAGCCAGGAUGUUGGCUUAGAAGCAGCCAUCAUUUAAAGAAAGCGUAAUAGCUCACUGGUCGAGUCGGCCUGCGCGGAAGAUGUAACGGGGCUAAACCAUGCACCGAAGCUGCGGCAGCGACGCUUAUGCGUUGUUGGGUAGGGGAGCGUUCUGUAAGCCUGUGAAGGUGUGCUGUGAGGUAUGCUGGAGGUAUCAGAAGUGCGAAUGCUGACAUAAGUAACGAUAAAGCGGGUGAAAAGCCCGCUCGCCGGAAGACCAAGGGUUCCUGUCCAACGUUAAUCGGGGCAGGGUGAGUCGACCCCUAAGGCGAGGCCGAAAGGCGUAGUCGAUGGGAAACAGGUUAAUAUUCCUGUACUUGGUGUUACUGCGAAGGGGGACGGAGAAGGCUAUGUUGGCCGGGCGACGGUUGUCCCGGUUUAAGCGUGUAGGCUGGUUUUCCAGGCAAAUCCGGAAAAUCAAGGCCGAGGCGUGAUGACGAGGCACUACGGUGCUGAAGCAACAAAUGCCCUGCUUCCAGGAAAAGCCUCUAAGCAUCAGGUAACAUCAAAUCGUACCCCAAACCGACACAGGUGGUCAGGUAGAGAAUACCAAGGCGCUUGAGAGAACUCGGGUGAAGGAACUAGGCAAAAUGGUGCCGUAACUUCGGGAGAAGGCACGCUGAUACGUAGGUGAAGCGACUUGCUCGUGGAGCUGAAAUCAGUCGAAGAUACCAGCUGGCUGCAACUGUUUAUUAAAAACACAGCACUGUGCAAACACGAAAGUGGACGUAUACGGUGUGACGCCUGCCCGGUGCCGGAAGGUUAAUUGAUGGGGUUAGCGCAAGCGAAGCUCUUGAUCGAAGCCCCGGUAAACGGCGGCCGUAACUAUAACGGUCCUAAGGUAGCGAAAUUCCUUGUCGGGUAAGUUCCGACCUGCACGAAUGGCGUAAUGAUGGCCAGGCUGUCUCCACCCGAGACUCAGUGAAAUUGAACUCGCUGUGAAGAUGCAGUGUACCCGCGGCAAGACGGAAAGACCCCGUGAACCUUUACUAUAGCUUGACACUGAACAUUGAGCCUUGAUGUGUAGGAUAGGUGGGAGGCUUUGAAGUGUGGACGCCAGUCUGCAUGGAGCCGACCUUGAAAUACCACCCUUUAAUGUUUGAUGUUCUAACGUGGACCCGUGAUCCGGGUUGCGGACAGUGUCUGGUGGGUAGUUUGACUGGGGCGGUCUCCUCCUAAAGAGUAACGGAGGAGCACGAAGGUUGGCUAAUCCUGGUCGGACAUCAGGAGGUUAGUGCAAUGGCAUAAGCCAGCUUGACUGCGAGCGUGACGGCGCGAGCAGGUGCGAAAGCAGGUCAUAGUGAUCCGGUGGUUCUGAAUGGAAGGGCCAUCGCUCAACGGAUAAAAGGUACUCCGGGGAUAACAGGCUGAUACCGCCCAAGAGUUCAUAUCGACGGCGGUGUUUGGCACCUCGAUGUCGGCUCAUCACAUCCUGGGGCUGAAGUAGGUCCCAAGGGUAUGGCUGUUCGCCAUUUAAAGUGGUACGCGAGCUGGGUUUAGAACGUCGUGAGACAGUUCGGUCCCUAUCUGCCGUGGGCGCUGGAGAACUGAGGGGGGCUGCUCCUAGUACGAGAGGACCGGAGUGGACGCAUCACUGGUGUUCGGGUUGUCAUGCCAAUGGCACUGCCCGGUAGCUAAAUGCGGAAGAGAUAAGUGCUGAAAGCAUCUAAGCACGAAACUUGCCCCGAGAUGAGUUCUCCCUGACCCUUUAAGGGUCCUGAAGGAACGUUGAAGACGACGACGUUGAUAGGCCGGGUGUGUAAGCGCAGCGAUGCGUUGAGCUAACCGGUACUAAUGAACCGUGAGGCUUAACCUUACAACGCCGAAG